GACGAACGCUGGCGGCGUGCUUAACACAUGCAAGUCGAGCGGAAAGGCCCCUUCGGGGGUACUCGAGCGGCGAACGGGUGAGUAACACGUGAGCAACCUGCCCUUCACUCCGGGAUAAGCCCGGGAAACUGGGUCUAAUACCGGAUACGACUUCGAUCGGCAUCGAUUGAGGUGGAAAGAUUUAUCGGUGAAGGAUGGGCUCGCGGCCUAUCAGCUUGUUGGUGGGGUAAUGGCCCACCAAGGCUUCUACGGGUAGCCGGCCUGAGAGGGCGACCGGCCACACUGGGACUGAGACACGGCCCAGACUCCUACGGGAGGCAGCAGUGGGAAUAUUGCGCAAUGGGCGAAAGCCUGACGCAGCAACGCCGCGUGAGGGAUGACGGCCU
This 386-nucleotide ribosomal RNA is filed under the name uncultured bacterium. RNAcentral describes it as "bacterial SSU rRNA". It matches the Rfam family "Bacterial small subunit ribosomal RNA", at positions 28 to 417 of the family's 1533-position model. The record is from RNAcentral.